CCUACGGGGGGCAGCAGUGAGGAAUAUUGGUCAAUGGACGAGAGUCUGAACCAGCCAAGUAGCGUGAAGGAUGACUGCCCUAUGGGUUGUAAACUUCUUUUAUAUGGGAAUAAAACGUUCCACGUGUGGGAUUUUGUAUGUACCAUAUGAAUAAGGAUCGGCUAACUCCGUGCCAGCAGCCGCGGUAAUACGGAGGAUCCGAGCGUUAUCCGGAUUUAUUGGGUUUAAAGGGAGCGUAGGUGGAUUGUUAAGUUAGUUGUGAAAGUUUGCGGCUCAACCGUAAAAUUGCAGUUGAAACUGGCAGUCUUGAGUACAGUAGAGGUGGGCGGAAUGCGUGGUGUAGCGGUGAAAUGCUUAGAUAUCACGAAGAACUCCGAUUGCGAAGGCAGUUCACUGGACUGCAACUGACACUGAGGCUCGAAAGUGUGGGUAUCAAACAGGAUUAGAUACCCGGGUAGUC
Molecule: ribosomal RNA, 460 nt
Filed under: uncultured bacterium
Lineage: Bacteria
Description: partial 16S ribosomal RNA
Rfam family: Bacterial small subunit ribosomal RNA
Source: RNAcentral